GAUGAACGCUGGCGGCGUGCCUAAUACAUGAAAGUCGAGCGAACGGACGAGAAGCUUGCUUCUCUGAUGUUAGCGGCGGACGGGUGAGUAACACGUGGAUAACCUACCUAUAAGACUGGGAUAACUUCGGGAAACCGGAGCUAAUACCGGAUAAUAUUUUGAACCGCAUGGUUCAAAAGUGAAAGACGGUAUUGCUGUCACUUAUAGAUGGAUCCGCGCUGGAUUAGCUAGUUGGUAAGGUAACGGCUUACCAAGGCAACGAUGCAUAGCCGACCUGAGAGGGUGAUCGGCCACACUGGAACUGUGACACGGUCCAGACUCCUACGGGAGGCAGCAGUGGGGAAUCUUCCGCAAUGGGCGAAAGCCUGACGUAGCAACACCGCGUGAGUGAUGAAGGUCUUCGGAUCGUAAAGCUCUGUUAUUGGGGAAGAACAGAUGUGUGAGAAGCUGUUCACAUCUUGACGGUACCAAAUCAAAAAGCCACGGCUAACUACGUG
Molecule: ribosomal RNA, 497 nt
Filed under: uncultured bacterium
Lineage: Bacteria
Description: partial 16S ribosomal RNA
Rfam family: Bacterial small subunit ribosomal RNA
Source: RNAcentral